CCAUAGAUGUUCUGGGCCGCACGCGCGCUACACUGACGGAGCCAGCGAGUACUUCCUUGGCCGAAAGGCCCGGGUAUUCUUGUUAAACUCCGUCGUGCUGGGGAUAGAGCAUUGCAAUUAUUGCUCUCCAACGAGGAAUCCCUAGUAAGCGCAAGUCUUCACCUUGCGUUGAUUACGUCCCUGCCCUUUGUACACACCGCCCGUCGCUACUACCGAUUGAAUGGCUCACUGAGGCGUCCGGACUGGCCCACGGAGGUGGGCAACUACCACCCAGGGCCGGAAAGCUCUCCAAACUCGGUCAUUUAGAGGAAGUAUAAGUCGUAACAAGGUCUCCGUAGGUGAACCUGCGGAGA
Molecule: ribosomal RNA, 353 nt
Filed under: Akanthomyces lecanii
Lineage: Eukaryota; Fungi; Ascomycota; Sordariomycetes; Hypocreales; Cordycipitaceae
Description: SSU rRNA
Rfam family: Eukaryotic small subunit ribosomal RNA
Source: RNAcentral